Molecule: long non-coding RNA, 688 nt
Organism: Ruditapes philippinarum (Manila clam)
Lineage: Eukaryota; Metazoa; Mollusca; Bivalvia; Venerida; Veneridae
Exons: 3
Source: RefSeq, a predicted model, not a curated record
GGAGAACUUGUCACUUCAAAGUUUGAUAGCGGAUAAACUAAUGAUUGAAGGAAUGCACGUUUGAGAAUGGUUAAGUGGAUAAAGCUAGAAAAUUUUCAGUGUCCAUCAUGUCCGAAUAAAAGGUAAAGUAAUCAAUUGGCGAUGGAAUUGUGGAAGUAGCUACCAUAACGGAGAGUUUUUACCAGCAGACCGUGAAGGUUUCACUUUUGCCCUCUCACAAGCAGUCCAAUUGAUGGGGAAAGCGGGGUCAGAAUGGGUAGCUUCUCUUAUCAUCAAUUUAGGAUUACAAUAUGGAAAAUAAAACAAAUGGCACAACUGAUUGUCAUAAGUGUGCUACGGCAAGAUAUUUGAUAGGCCUUCAUUCUGACGGAUGAUCGUGAUCUUCAAUUUUGACUAUGUUGAUAAAUAAAACACCAGUUGAUCAUGAACAGUCUGCAAGCAGUUUUAAUUUCCAUUUGAACCAGUCAUCAUACUUCAUCAACUCUGUUUUGUAUGUUUUGUUUUAAAUUCGUAUAUGUAUAAAAUACUUAUAGUUUUCAAAUUUUUACGUCACAGGAUGAAUUUUGUUUGUCACGAGAAUCUGGUAUAAAUAUAUGUAGUCGCAUGUUGUGUUAGAGACAUUUUUUGUUAGAGAUCAUUUAUAUUUGUUUCUUUCUUUUGGUGAAUAAAGUUUAGUUAUAUUCUUGUU